This 1960-nucleotide ribosomal RNA is filed under the name human gut metagenome. RNAcentral describes it as "bacterial LSU rRNA". It matches the Rfam family "Bacterial large subunit ribosomal RNA", at positions 3 to 1980 of the family's 2925-position model. The record is from RNAcentral.
UCAAGCUACUAAGGGCAUACGGCGGAUGCCUAGGCGCCAUCAGCCGAUGAAGGACGCGGUAAGCUGCGAAAAGCUACGGGGAACUGCAAGCAAGUAUUGAUCCGUAGAUGUCCGAAUGGGGAAACCCACCUGCCGUCAUGGGCAGGUAUCCGAAAGGAAGGGAACCCGGGGAACUGAAACAUCUAAGUACCCGGAGGAAGAGAAAUCAAACGAGAUGCCCACAGUAGCGGCGAGCGAAGAGGGCAGAGGGCAAACCGGGGAGCUACGGCUCUCCGGGGUUGAGGACUGCAUUUAGUUUCAAUGGUUUAUCCGAACUACCUGGAAAGGUAGGCAACACAGUGUAAAAGCCACGUAGGUUAAAGGCCAGAGAGAUGAGCAGUAUCCAGAGUACCACGAGGCACGAGGAAUCUUGUGGGAAGCCGGGGGGACCACCCUCCAACCCUAAACACUGAAUGGCGACCGAUAGCGCAUAGUACCGUGAGGGAAAGGUGAAAAGAACCCCGGGAGGGGAGUGAAAGAGAACCUGAAACCGUAUGUCUACAAGCAGUCGGAGCGAAAGCGACGGCGUGCCUAUUGAAGAAUGAACCAACGAGUUACGUGCACUAGCGAGGUUAAGUGGAAGACACGGAGCCGAAGCGAAAGCGAGUCUUAAGAGGGCGGAUAGUUAGUGUACGUAGACCCGAAACCGCAGUGAUCUACCCAUGUCCAGGUUGAAGCGCAGGUAAAAUUGCGUGGAGGACCGAACCUGUGAGCGUUGAAAAGCUUUAGGAUGAGAUGUGGGUAGAGGUGAAAUUCCAAUCGAACGCGGAGAUAGCUGGUUCUCCCCGAAAUAGCUUUAGGGCUAGCCUCAAGUAGUAAGUAUAGGCGGUAGAGCACUGAUCGGGCUAGGGGCCAUAAAGGUUACCGAACCCUGUCAAACUCCGAAUGGUUAUACUGUAGAGCUUGGGAGUCAGACUACGAGUGAUAAGAUCCGUGGUCAAAAGGGAAACAGCCCAGACCACCAGCUAAGGUCCCCAAUGUCGUACUAAGUGGAAAAGGAUGUGGGGUCUCUAAAACAACCAGGAUGUUGGCUUAGAAGCAGCCACCAUUUAAAGAGUGCGUAAUAGCUCACUGGUCGAGAGACCCUGCGCCGAAGAUUACCGGGGCUAAAGUACGAAACCGAAGCUGUGGCUACGACUUAGGUCGUGGGGUAGGGGAGCGUUCUGUGAGGGCUGAAGUCGUUCUGUAAGGAACGGUGGACUUCACAGAAGUGAGAAUGUUGGUAUGAGUAGCGAAAAGAAUGGUGAGAAUCCAUUCCACCGAAAGCAUAAGGAUUCCUGGGCAACGAUCGUCGUCCCAGGGUAAGUCGGGACCUAAUCCGAGGCAUGGAGCGUAGGAGAUGGACAACUGGCAGAUAUUCCAGUACCGGUAAUGAUUGUUUGAGCGAUGGAGUGACACAGGAGGGCAGGCAGGCAGGAGAUUGGUUGUUCCUGUACAAGCGUGUAGGAUGGGACGCAGGCAAAUCCGCGUCCUGUGAGUCUGAGGCGUGAUGUGGAGGUUCCGGAAACGGAACUGAAGCUGCUGACCCCACACUGUCGAGAAAAGCUUCUAGUUAGAGAAUUACCGCCCGUACCGUAAACCGACACAGGUAUGCGGGGAGAGAAUCCUAAGGUGCGCGGGAGAACCCUCGUUAAGGAACUCGGCAAAAUGUACCCGUAACUUCGGGAUAAGGGUAGCCGCUGUUGUGAAGUCUGAACAGAUGGAGCAUGAGGCGGUCGCAGAGAAGAGGCCCAAGCGACUGUUUACCACAAACACAGGUGCCUGCUAAAGAGAAAUCUGACGUAUAGGUGCUGACACCUGCCCAGUGCCGGAAGGUUAAGGAAGGAUGUCCGGAGCAAUCCAAAGCAUUCGACCGAAGCCCCGGUGAACGGCGGCCGUAACUAUAACGGUCCUAAGGUAGCGAAAUUCCUUGUCGGGUAAG